This 468-nucleotide ribosomal RNA is filed under the name uncultured bacterium. Its description in RNAcentral is "partial 16S ribosomal RNA". It matches the Rfam family "Bacterial small subunit ribosomal RNA", at positions 28 to 507 of the family's 1533-position model. The record is from RNAcentral.
GACGAACGCUGGCGGCGUGCUUAACACAUGCAAGUCGAACGGAAAGGCCCUGCUUUUGUGGGGUGCUCGAGUGGCGAACGGGUGAGUAACACGUGAGUAACCUGCCCUUGACUUUGGGAUAACUUCAGGAAACUGGGGCUAUUACCGGAUAGGAUCUCCUGCUGCAUGGUGUGGGUUGGAAAGUUUCGGCGGUUGGGGCUGGACUCGCGGCUUAUCAGCUGGUUGGUGGGGUAGUGGCUUACCAAGGCUUUGACGGGUAGCCGGCCUGAGAGGGUGAACGGCGACAAUGGGACUGAGAUACGGACCAGACUCCUACGGGAGGCAGCAGUGGGGAAUAUUGCACAGUGGGCGGAAGCCAGAUGCGGCAACGCCGCGUGCGGGAUGACGGGCUUCGGGUUGUAAACCGCUUUCGCCUGUGACGAAGAGUGAGUGACGGUAAUGGGUAAGAAAGCACCGGCUAACUACGUG